GUGCUCGAGCGGUACAGCCGAAUGAAUGAAAGUGGGAUUCGUUCAUUCAUUCAUUCGACGGUAUUUACCGAGCGC
Molecule: non-coding RNA, 75 nt
Organism: Ornithorhynchus anatinus (platypus)
Lineage: Eukaryota; Metazoa; Chordata; Mammalia; Monotremata; Ornithorhynchidae
Source: RefSeq, marked provisional